This 253-nucleotide ribosomal RNA is filed under the name uncultured bacterium. Its description in RNAcentral is "partial 16S ribosomal RNA". It matches the Rfam family "Bacterial small subunit ribosomal RNA", at positions 524 to 776 of the family's 1533-position model. The record is from RNAcentral.
GACGAACUGUCCUAACGUUGUUCGGAAUCACUGGGCUUAAAGGGCGCGUAGGCGGUCCACCAAGUCAGGGGUGAAAUCCUGCAGCUUAACUGCAGAAGUGCCUUUGAUACUGGUGGUCUGGAGGGAGAUAGGGGUGUGUGGAACUCACAGUGGAGCGGUGAAAUGCGUUGAUAUUGUGAGGAACGCCGGAGGCGAAAGCGACGCACUGGAUCUCUUCUGACGCUGAGGCGCGAAAGCUAGGGGAGCAAACGGG